Molecule: transfer RNA, 71 nt
Filed under: Scurrula chingii
Lineage: Eukaryota; Viridiplantae; Streptophyta; Magnoliopsida; Santalales; Loranthaceae
Description: tRNA-Gly
Rfam family: tRNA
About the family: Transfer RNA (tRNA) molecules are approximately 80 nucleotides in length. Their secondary structure includes four short double-helical elements and three loops (D, anti-codon, and T loops).
Source: RNAcentral
GCGGAUAUGGUUGAAUGGUAAAAUGUCUCUUUGCCAAGGAGAAGUCGCGGGUUCGAUUCCCGCUAUCCGCC